UUGGGCAUUUCUUUUCGGCAUUUUAUUUAUCCAGUGUGAUGAAAAAUUUACCCAUUCUAAGGUAACUGCUGAUUAUUUUUUGAUCUUACUGGACAAUAUGCUACACGAACUGUGUAAAGUACUACCCCAGAUUGGUUGGACACAUAAUUACCCUCGUGGUGGUAAAAAUUUAACCAAAUAUUUUUUUCCACAGUGUACACCGUACACCAUUCAUGCCGUCUGGUCAUCGAGAAAUAAUCAGAGCAGCUAUUCUCAAGAAUGAAUCUGUUGUCGACUCAGACUUCUACCCCAUAUUGGAUGCGAUCGAUUACCGCCUCGUGGAUGAAUAUCAUAUCACCUCAGAAUCAUUGGCUUGGAAUAGACAUGGGGAGCGUUUCAUGACAAGACUUGUCGGAUGUUUUAUCUGACAAGUCCUGUUUUAUCCCACAAUUACCAUAGUAACAAUCAAGUCAAGGAAAGUUGUCGAGUCUGACAACCUGUCGGACAAAAAUGUUGAUGAAACGCCCCCGGACUUACGGUGCACAUCCCCAUCCACGCGGCCUGGUCAUGAAUAGAGGAACAGGCGGGGAACUCCCACUUCCCUGGAGCAGGCGAGGAACUUCCACUUCCUUGGAGCAGGCGAGGAACUCCCACUUCCUUGGAGCAGACGAGGAACAUCCAGUCCCCUGGAACAGGCGAGGAACUCCCACUGUCCGGGAGCAGGGGAGGAACACCCACUUCCCUGGAGCAGGCGAGUAUCAAGACCCACUUCGCUGAAGCAGGCGCGGAACUCCCACUUCCCUGGAGCAGGCGAGGAAUUCCCACUUCCCUGAAGCUGGCGCGGAACUUCCACUUCCCUGGAGCAGGCGAGGAUCUCCUACGUACUUCCCUGGAGCAGGUGAGGAACUCCCACUUCCCUGGAGCAGACGAGGAACUUCCACUUCCCUGGAGCAGGUUUUCAUCAGGAGGCGAUGGUGGAUCAGGUGGAUUAAUUCGGAGGCAUUGCUGAAGGCAUCCCGCAUGUGGUUACGUUACCUUGUGGUGUUCCGAAACUUUUGAAGGAUGGUGUACCAUGUGGAUACCAUGGUUUGAAAGUUCACCCAAUGCAGUCUCGUCAUGGUGAGGGUGUGAUUGAUCUAGGAUCCGGUUGGUUUUCCGCCUUCCCAAGCCAGAGGACCUUUUCUUUAAUUUUCCAGAGGACGUAAAAUGCUAUACAAUAAGAUUGGUUGGUGCAAAACAGGUUAACCAAAUCGGUUCAUCAGUUCAACUUCUAUGCGGGGAUUUUUUUAAACAUUAUAAGUCGUGUUCUCUGGGACAUUCCAACACUGUAAUGUAAAGUAUCUACUAGUAAUAGUUUAAAGGAGGAGGCUUUAUUUAGUUGAUUAGUUUGUUCUCCAAAUUUGUUUAAGGCUUGUUUUAGAUUUCGGUAAAAACACAACAUAGUCAUGAUGAUUUUAGUGGUGAUCCCGUAAGGAAUGCUAACUUUGUUGAAGAUGAAUCCAUCAAAUUUCGUCUUCAUUAUACUUUAAUGGGCAGUGUUUUGUAAAGCUCGGUCGCUUCAUUUUCUCGCAUAAUUCCUAAAAAAAUGAAUAAUUUCGCGCCCCUAUUAGCCUCCUCAUAGGCAUAAUUGAGGCUCAGUGUUUGCAAAAUUCCUUUAAACAAGUUUAAACAAAUUUGAUCUAAAAGAAAUGUUUCUUGUGGGCGCAUUAAACAGAAAAUGGAGAGAAAAUAUAAAUUAAAAUCUUUAUAAUGCAGAAAGUAUUUGAAUUCCACACUUUUCUUAGAGCUCAGUCGGUUUGCUUCCUCACCGAGUGUUUUUUUUUCCUUUCAGGAUUUUACGGCAUUAAAGCCUUGCUACCGCUUAGGCCUUAACUAUUUGAAUGCCACUAUAUUGUUGAUUGUACUCCUUAUAUUUUUCAUGAUUUUUUUUAUCCUCUAUUGGGUGUAUGUGGCAAUAGCUAACUUUUUUAAAUUAUGCCUCUAAAUGUCGUUUAUUAUUUGCAAUUGUAUUUGACAAGGUGAAUAUUUUCCACUGUUCUUUCCUGUUAUUAUUACUGUUGCUUGAGUCACGAAUAUCUCGUGUAAUCUGUUAAAACUUACUGAAAUGAAAUGAGGUUUGGUUUACAAUCAGGGUACACCAGUCUAUCUCAUUGAACAAAAAAAAAACUGUUUUGCAUUCCUCACCUUUUUUAUGGCGAAAAUCAAGGUGAAAUAAUAGGUAAAUUGCCAAUUUGUCUAUUGCCAACUCGUCCACUCAUCACAUGCUCUACCUUCGUUUAGUCUAAUGCC
RNAcentral lists this long non-coding RNA (2268 nucleotides) under Lytechinus variegatus (green sea urchin). RNAcentral describes it as "uncharacterized LOC121420498". The record is from RNAcentral. Lineage: Eukaryota; Metazoa; Echinodermata; Echinoidea; Temnopleuroida; Toxopneustidae.